RNAcentral lists this ribosomal RNA (1351 nucleotides) under Minimugil cascasia (yellowtail mullet). RNAcentral's name for it is "partial 16S ribosomal RNA". It matches the Rfam family "Bacterial large subunit ribosomal RNA", at positions 547 to 2597 of the family's 2925-position model. The record is from RNAcentral. Lineage: Eukaryota; Metazoa; Chordata; Actinopteri; Mugiliformes; Mugilidae.
ACCCAGUAAAGCCAAAAAAGCAGAGACUAAACCUCGUACCUUUUGCAUCAUGAUUUAGCAAGUAUACCCAGGCAAAAAGAAUUUUAGUCUGGCCCCCCGAAACCAAGUGAGCUACUCCAAGACAACCCUGCAGCCCAGGGUAAAUCCGUCUCUGUGGCAAAAGAGUGGAAAGAGCUUUGAGUAGAGGUGACAGACCUAUCGAACUUGGUAAUAGCUGGUUGCUUGAGAAACGAAUAGGAGUUCUGCUUUUUAUGUUCUUACCCCAACUUAACACCUUCCUUUCCCUUAGCAGUAAAGAGAAUAAGAAAAUAAAAAAGUUAUUCAGAGGGGGUACAGCCCCUUUGAAAUAAGAUACAACUUUUCCAGGUGGGUAAAGAUCAUAAUCUUUUAAGGUAAUUAUGUUUCGGUGGGCCUGAAAGCAGCCAUCCCCAUAGAAUGCGUUAAAGCUCUAACAUACUCCCCCCCUCUGAUUCCGAUAACAAAUCUUAGCCCCCUAAUUUAUAUCAAGCCGUCCCAUACAGACAUGGGAGUGAUUAUGCUAAAAUGAGUAACCAGAGAACACAACUUCUCUCCCCGCACACGUGUAACUCGGAACGGACCCCCCACCGAAAACUAACGGCCCCAAACAGCAGAGGGUACUGGAUAAUGAUUACCAAACAAGAAAACCAUCCAAAACAUCACCGUUAACCCCACACUGGAGUGCUUCAAAGGAAAGACUAAAAGGAAAAGAAGGAACUCGGCAAACAUUUACAGCCUCGACUGUUUACCAAAAACAUCGCCUCUUGCUCAUCACAUAUAAGAGGUCACGCCUGCCCAGUGACACUCCAGUUUAACGGCCGCGGUAUUUUGACCGUGCAAAGGUAGCGUAAUCACUUGUCUUCUAAAUGAGGACCUGUAUGAAUGGCAUAACGAGGGCUUAACUGUCUCCUUUCCCCAGUCAGUGAAAUUGAUCUUCCCGUGCAGAAGCGGGAAUUAAAACAUAAGACGAGAAGACCCUAUGGAGCUUUAGACUACAGAACCGACCAUGUCAGCUACCCCCCUUAAACGAGUAGUAAUUAUUGAAAUCUGUUCCCUUGUCUUUGGUUGGGGCGACCACGGGGAACAAAAAAACCCCCAUGUGGACCGGGAGCACACAACUCCUAUAACCACGAGCCACAGCUCUAAUGCGCAGAACUUCUGACCAAUAUGACCCGGCAAAGCCGAUCAACGGACCGAGUUACCCUAGGGAUAACAGCGCAAUCCUCUUUAAGAGUUCCUAUCGACAAGGGGGUUUACGACCUCGAUGUUGGAUCAAGACAUCCUAAUGGUGCAACCGCUAUUAAGGGUUCGUUUGUUCAACGAUUAAAGUCUU